Molecule: long non-coding RNA, 3018 nt
Organism: Cervus elaphus (red deer)
Lineage: Eukaryota; Metazoa; Chordata; Mammalia; Artiodactyla; Cervidae
Exons: 3
Source: RefSeq, a predicted model, not a curated record
UUAUUAUUGUUGAGUUGUAUGAGCUACUUGUAAAUUUUGGAAAUUAAGCCCUUGUUAGUAACAUCAUUUAGCAAUAUUUUCUCCCAGUCCUUAGGUUGUUUUUUUGUUUUAUGGUUUCCUUUUGCUGUGUAACAGCUUAUAUGUUUGAUUAGGUCCUAUUUGUUUAUUUUUGCUUUUAUCUCUAUUGCCUUGGGAAACUAACGUAAGAAAAUAUUGGUAUGGUUUUUGUCAAGAGAAUGUUUUGCCUAUGUUCUCUUCUGCGACUCUUAUAUUUAAUUAAGUCUUUAAGUCAUUUGGGGUUUAUUUUUGUAUAUGGGGUGAGGGUCUGUCCUAACUUCAUUGAUUUACAUGUGACUCUCCAGCUUAGUCCACACCAUCAAGCGGUCUUAAGUUGUAAGAGAAAAGCCAUCUCCAGCUGAUGUCCCAGGAAUUAGACAUUUUAAAAAUGUCCGAGACUGGUAAUAAAGAAGCUUGCAGAGUUUUAGCCAAACAGCAUGUACAUCUAAGGAAACAGAAAGCAAGCACUUCGGCUCUGAGUUCACAAAUCACUCCCAUGUCCACACAAAAGGGAUGAAUUCCCAGAUGACCAUAGCAGGAACAGCGCCUACUACAAGAGUAAGUGGGAAUCUUUAUAUCCAUCACUUUAUGACUUUUUCUGGGAUGCUCACUUUUAACUUUCUGUAUUGGAGAAUAGCUGGUUAACAAUGUUGCGAUAGUUUCAGAUGGACAGCAGAGGGACUCAGCCAUACAUGCGUAUGUGUCCAUUCUCGCCAGACUCCCUCCCAUCCCGGCUGCCACAUAACAUGGAGCAGAGUUCCCUGUGCUAUGCAGUAGUGGGUUUAUUCAGUAUCACUUUGGAAGUCCUAGCCACAGUGAUCAGAGAGGAAAAAGAAAGAAAAGGAAUACAAACUGAAAAAGAAGGUAAAAAUAUCACUGCUUUCUGUGUAUAGUAUGUCAUCUGCAAAUCCUAAAGAGGCCACCAGAAAACUACGGGUGCUAAUCAGUGAAUUUGUUUAAAGUUGCAGGAUACAAAAUUAAUGCACAGAAAUCUCUUGCAUUCCUAUACACUAACUAAAUUCCUAUAACUAACUAAAAGAUUGGAAAGAGAAACUAAGAAACCCAUUUACCAUCACAACAAAAAGAAUAAAAUACCUAGGAAUAAACCUACCUAAGGAGGCAAAAGACUUGUACUCAGAAAACUAUAAAACACUGAUGAAAGAAAUCAAAGAUGACACAAACGGAUAAAGAGAUCUACCGUGUUCUUGGACUGAAAGACUCUAUACUGUGAAAAUGACUAUACUACCCAAAGCAAUCCACAGAUUCAGUGCAAUCCCUAUCAAACUACCAAGGACAUUUUCACAGCGUUGGAACAAAACAUUCCACACUCUAUAUGGAAACACAAAAGACUCGGAUUUCACAAAUUAUUAGAGAAAUGAGAACUACAAUGAGGUCUCAGCGGGAGAGGGGGAUGGAAUGAAUUGGGAGAUUGGAAUUGACAUAUGUAACAUGGUAUAUAAAUAGAUAACUACUGAGAACCUGCUCUGUAGCACAGGGAACUCUGCUCAGAGCUCUGCGGUGACCGAAAUGAGAAGAAAGUGCAAAAGAAAUGGAUGUAAGUCUGACUGAUUCACUCUGUCACGCAGCAGGAGCAAACGCAACAUCGUCAAGCAACCAUACUCCAAUAAAGGCUGAAGAAAGCAAGGAGCUGGAUGAUGGUUCCCCAUCGCGACAAACAACUGCCCCUAUUCUGGAGAGGCACUUGGUUUCAGAAAGCGAGACCCCCGAGACGGCAGAUACCUGGGCAGCGUCCCAGGCCUGGUACCGCAGGGUCCCUGUGAUGAUGUAGUCGCUCAGGUAGAAGAUGAAGAGGCUGAUGAUAAGCAGCGGGCUCACGCCGCCCCACAUGACCUUCCAGUACCAGUUCAGGGCGCGUCCAGUCAUGGCCUUGAGCUCGCUUUCAAAUCUGAUUGGAGAGUGGGGAGAGAAAGUCUGGAUUACCCGUGCUCUUGGAGGCAGGCGGUCCAGGCCACAGAGCCGUCUGUGCGUAGGAAGCUUCUGUGCUGGGCACCAGUGGUGCUUGGACACGACCACGGGGCCCUCUUCCCUGGGGGAGGUCAAGGGCACAGGCUGCCACCAGCGGGGCAAAGGGACCGCCCACAGGUGAGUGGACAUCAGGACGCACCCCUGGGCCUGGCCUCCAGGUGGAGGCCACUAAUGCAGACAGGAGGGCAGCGCCCAGCGCCGGGGGCACAGAGGGCCUGGGGAGACGCCCGCGAAGCCGGCCUCAGCCCCGGGGACCCCGAGGGCAGCCCUGCCGCCUGUCAGCAGCUGUAGUGCCUGCAGCCCACCACUGUGAUCUCCAUCCUGUCUGCGAGCGCGCUCUUUGUCUCUUAUAACUUGACUCUUUUACCUGAGUUUAUAAAUAGCAUGAUAGUAUCUGUCUUACUGUAGACUGGAGAGACUUCUCCAGGAUUCUGGAAACUACACUGAGAAAGUGCUGGGAGUCGUGGCCUUCGUGGGUGCAUUUCCCGGCCGUUGUCAGGCGGCGCCUCCUACCUGCUCAGCCCGUACAGGUAGCACAUGGCGACCGUCUCCACCAGGACGAUGAGCAGCAGGGACAGCGUGGCAGCGUAGUCGUUGAAGAUGUCGAACCAGUAGCUGCCGGCCUCCAUGGUGAACACCAUGCCGAUGGCGCAGUUGGCGAGGCACACCAGACCUGGGACCACAAGACCCCUGCUCACCCACCUAGACAGCACCUAUUCACCCAGCUUCCGUGGGGCCAAGGUGGUGGGAGGCGUGUCAGCAGGACUUCCCGACACUCGUUCACGGAGGGGUCUAGCAGCGGACACCCGACUCAGUGUAAAAGACAGAAGAGAGACAGAUGAUUGCCACUUGCCACUGGAGUGUAUGGGUGUGAGAGCUGGACUACAAGGAAAGCUGAGCACCAAAGAAUUGAUGCUUUUGAACUGUGGUGUUGGAGAAGACUCUUGAGAGUCCCUUGGACUGCAAGGAGAUCCA